Non-coding RNA from Penaeus vannamei (Pacific white shrimp), 73 nucleotides. The record is from the annotation of a RefSeq genome assembly. Lineage: Eukaryota; Metazoa; Arthropoda; Malacostraca; Decapoda; Penaeidae.
GUCUUUGUGGUGUAGUGGUUAACACGCCUGACCUCAAAUCAGGAGGUCUCGGGUUCGAUUCCCGACGAGAACA